This 561-nucleotide ribosomal RNA is filed under the name Methanosarcina sp. enrichment culture clone G06. RNAcentral's name for it is "bacterial SSU rRNA". It matches the Rfam family "Archaeal small subunit ribosomal RNA", at positions 108 to 667 of the family's 1478-position model. Lineage: Archaea; Methanobacteriati; Methanobacteriota; Methanomicrobia; Methanosarcinales; Methanosarcinaceae. The record is from RNAcentral.
CCUGCCCUUGGGUCCGGCAUAACCCCGGGAAACUGGGGAUAAUUCCGGAUAACGCACAUAUGCUGGAAUGCUUUAUGCGUCAAAUGGAUUCGUCUGCCCAAGGAUGGGUCUGCGGCCUAUCAGGUAGUAGUGGGUGUAAUGUACCUACUAGCCGACGACGGGUACGGGUUGUGAGAGCAAGAGCCCGGAGAUGGAUUCUGAGACAUGAAUCCAGGCCCUACGGGGCGCAGCAGGCGCGAAAACUUUACAAUGCGGGAAACCGUGAUAAGGGGACACCGAGUGCCAGCAUCAUAUGCUGGCUGUCCGGGUGUGUAAAAUACACCUGUUAGCAAGGGCCGGGCAAGACCGGUGCCAGCCGCCGCGGUAACACCGGCGGCCCGAGUGGUGAUCGUGAUUAUUGGGUCUAAAGGGUCCGUAGCCGGUUUGGUCAGUCCUCCGGGAAAUCUGACGGCUUAACCGUUAGGCUUUCGGAGGAUACUGCCAGGCUUGGAACCGGGAGAGGUAAGAGGUACUACAGGGGUAGGAGUGAAAUCUUGUAAUCCCUGUGGGACCACCUGUGGC